This 433-nucleotide ribosomal RNA is filed under the name uncultured bacterium. RNAcentral describes it as "partial 16S ribosomal RNA". It matches the Rfam family "Bacterial small subunit ribosomal RNA", at positions 28 to 507 of the family's 1533-position model. The record is from RNAcentral.
GACGAACGCUGGCGGCAGGCCUAACACAUGCAAGUCGAGCGGAGACUUCGGGUCUAGCGGCGGACGUGGAGGUACCAAGUGGUAAUGUACCCGUCUCUACCGAGUCGCCCUGGGAAACUGGGAGUCAUACCACAUAGGCUCAUACGGGGAAGGAUUUCUCGGGGCAGGAUCAGCCCGCGUUGGUUUAGGUGGUUGGUGGGGUAAUGGCCUACCAAGCGGACGUUGCAUAGCUGGUGUGAGAGGAUGCUCAGCAACACUGGGACUGAGACACGGCCCAGACUCCGACGGGAGGGAGCAGUAGGGAGUCUUAGGGGAUGGGGGCAACUGUGAUCUAGCCAUGCCGCGUGAGAGAUGAAGGCGGUAGGGUUGUAAAGCUCUUUCAGCUGGGAAGAGAGUGACGGUAACAGCAGAAGAAGCCCCGGCUAACUCCGUG